This 3584-nucleotide unclassified non-coding RNA is filed under the name Owenia fusiformis. Its description in RNAcentral is "misc RNA OFUS_LOCUS6188". The record is from RNAcentral. Lineage: Eukaryota; Metazoa; Annelida; Polychaeta; Sabellida; Oweniidae.
GUCGAAACAGUUUGAUCUACCGAGCUGGGGGAACACUCGCAAUUGGAGAAAAACAGUCCGUUAGUAUAGUUAAGUUCGUUUAUAAAAAUAAGCGUUCUGGGAUGUUCAGAAAGUCAGUUUUGAUAUCUUUAACGCUGUAGGAAUGAUUGUACAAGUUCGUGCUUAGAAACUAGUGAUUUUCAUCUUGUUUUCAGGCGUUUAUUUGAUAAGGGAUUUCUCAUUUCCCACAUUCGCUUAAAAUUGUAUGAUUGAAACAUUGUAAAAAACAAAAACUUCAACAUUGAUGACAUGAAAAAAUAACCGGGAGCGAAAUCACAAAUGCGAAGUCUAAGUUCAGGUCUUUUGAAAGUGACCCCCUGGAGUACUAGUUCUUCCGGUCAUUUUGCAAAGUCAGAAACAAGAACUUCCCGAAGGAGAUAAAUGCGCUGUAUUUGAACACCAACGGUUUAUAGGACUUAAACGAGUACAUUAAUUAAUGAACUACAAAUAAAGAUAAGGAAAGCAUGGAUAAUAUUUCAAACUGAGAAACAAUACACCUUAACCAGAGAGUGAUUAAUACUGAUUAAUUUGUGAUUAACGUAAAAUAUUUGGAUAAUGCAACUCGAUAUUAGGAUUAGAAAACAUAACCCAGAGUGGAAAUACAACAGCAUAGAAGCAGAAGGUUAAUUUGCGAAGCACUCUGACUUGUCUAACAGCAGCAUUACAUAAAUGCGAGUUGGAAGAUUUGGUGAAAGGCGCGCAUUUCCUAAAUAAUAUGACAGCAGGUAAUAAAAUGUAGUUACAAAGACAAACAUCGAAGCACACGUCUUAGAAAAGUCACACCCGGGGUCACACCAAGGAACAAUAUGGACUUAAUACAUUUUAGCGUUACCUAUAAAUUGUAAAAUUAGGGUACCGCACUUCGAUUUUUACAAUGGACAAUGUAGACACUGACCUUUCACAUCUUGAAUUGAGUGAUUCUAUCGAUGAUGAUUUUGGUAUACAACAAGCAUAUGGAGGGAGACAACAUGGGCCGUUCUAUAUGCCAUACCUUGCCCGUGCAAGACAGAGAUCAAACACAUUCUCUACGCUUCCCUCUCCAAGGCCGGCCCCAAAGGCAAGGCGCGGGCUUGACCAACACUCCCCUCCACCCCAAAAGGCAUUUGCAUGUCGCCCCCAUAGGACCCAACUAUCACCUACAUUUGAAACGGACUAUAGCUUGGAAAUGCGUCCGAGAACACUCAGUAUGCCAAAUAAACAAAAUCGUCCAAACUUUCUGGAUAUAACUCAAAAUUAUGAUACUGCUGAAAAAGAUGUUGAAUCGAGUGAUGUAACAAAUCAAAAAGAGGAUGAUACUUCUGAAGACAUUGAUGAAGUAUAUAGAGUUAGAACAUUUACAACUACGUCAAAGGGAAACAUUCUCUCGAGUGGUGAUGCUUUUAGAAGAAGGAGCUCGAGCUCUGUAUCUGCUGAUAGUGGUCACAUGUCAGACGAUUUCCGUGGACGUUCAUCAAGUUCCGGUUCGAAUUCCCGCCAAGAUUCAUUAGCAGACGGCACCUUCAGACGUACUAAAUAUGCUCAAGGUCCAAUGCUGGAAGAAUUCAGACGACGGACUUCAAGCGGGGCUUCCUCAGGUUACAAACUGCCUUUCCGAAGGAGAACCUCAAGUUCUACUUCUCGUGGCUCUCACUCGAGUGGGUACCUCUCCGCAGACGACUUCCGGAACAGAACGAGCAGCAACGCCAGCAGUUGCUCCUCCGGUGCGGUGUUCUCAGAUGUCCCUUUAACCUCGUUCAAAGUGAUCGUUCUUGGUGCACCGGGCACCGGCAAAAGUGCACUUAUCAAUCAGUUUAUGACAUCUGAGUACAUGGAUGGAUUUAACUUCGACACAGAAUCUGGUUCUUCGCAGACUGUCAGUGUGCUGCUGGACGGCGCCGAGUCUUUGUUGGAGUUCCAGGAGAGCGAGGACGAUAGGUACUUUGACGCCUCCGAGGAAAAAGCAGACGCGUAUAUCGUCACGUUCUCUAUGACGGACCGUGAUUCGUACCAUCACGCUAUAGAUGUCCUCUACCACCUACGGGAGGAACACUAUACCCCCGCAGUAGUCAUCCUCGUGGGCAACAAGACUGAUAUCGUCCGACAAAGGCAGAUUCUGGUCGAAGAGGGGAAGUCCACGUCAAAGACCUACGACUGUACAUAUACCGAGAUAUCCGCUGCACUCAACCACAAAGUGGACGACCUCCUUGUCAGUACAUUGGCUCACAUUAGAAACAAAUUAAAGCCAAAGGAUGAAACAUCUAGGAAGAAAUCUGUCAAUAAAAUGGCUAAAGGGAUAAUCAGUAAAAUACAAUCGCAUCUUUUUGUUAAAAGCGAAGAGAAGGAACGUUCCGAUCGGUCCCCAAGACACGAUCGGUCCCCAAGACAUGAUCGAUCCCCAAGACAUGAUCGAUCGCCUCGUCAUGGUUCGUCACCUCGUCAAAGUUCGUCGUCCUCUCCACGUCAUGGAUCGUCAUCCUCUCACCAGGGGUCUCCACUGCAUUACAAAUCCUCUCCACGUCACGCUUCAUCCUCGUUCUGGGAGCGAUCAGACGACUCAACUCCUGUUUAUGACGAUACGCUACAAUGAUUAAAGUACAAUAACUACAAAGCAAUAGUGUGAAAACGUGCUUGUAACACUAAAGAUUGCUUCUAACACCCCAUAGUGAAGGGACAAUAAGAAGCGAUUUUCAAAUCAUUGUACAGUAAAAGCAUUUUAUGUGGAAAACCCUUGAAAAUGAAACCAUGGUCUUUCUAUGAUGAAACUAAGUCAUAUAACUUAAAUAUACCCAUUAAUUACAAAGUGGAACACUUUUGAGGUACAAGAGGCGUUCCACUUGGGCAGGUUUUAUUGGUAAUUCAUUUGUAAUGGGAGAUCAAAUACCAUGCCAUUCUCAGCUCUUUGUUCAAAGAUACUUCCCAAGCUACAUGUAUUCCAUAUACCGUACCUGCCAAAUAUUGCCAAAUAUAUAUUCUAAGUAUGAACAGUUCAAGUACAGGAUGUAUAGAUUUUGUUCUGAAAUGCAAAACAAUCAAAAUGUACUGAGAUUUACAAAACAAUUAGUAUUCUAAGUACAAUGUUUUACGUACCUGAGAGCAUUUUAUAUCAAACUACCUCGUUGCAAUGCAUUUAUAUCAAACUACCUCGUUACAAUGCAUUUACACCAAACUACCUCACUGCAAUACAUUUGUAACACAAUACUGUAUAGCCCCAUUGCCCCAUUGUAAACUAUUUCAUUGCUAUGUAUUUACAUCAAAUUGCUUUGUUGUAAUGCAUUAUAUACCUUAUUGCAACCCAUAUAGAUAAACCUACCUCAUUGCAAUACAUUUACAUCAACUCACCUCAUAGUAGUGAUUUUAAAUAUAAAAUCACCUUGUUACAAGGUACUUUGUGUCAACCUACCUUAUUGCAAUGUAUUUAUAUCAAACUACCUCAUUGCAUUGCAUUAGUAAUUACAUUCAUUGCAUUUUGUAAAUAUAUACCUUGCUGUAUCCCAUGUCACAUUUAAUAGAAUGAAGUUUUGUAUAAUAAAUGUGUAUAAUGCAAUUUAAGGGUGUACUAAAUAUAA